CAGCAGCCGCGGUAAGACAGAGGGUGCAAACGUUGUUCGGAAUUACUGGGCGUAAAGCGUGUGUAGGCGGCUUCGCAAGUCGGAUGUGAAAGCCCCGGGCUCAACCCGGGAAGUGCACUCGAUACUGCGGAGCUAGAGUGUCGGAGAGGUUGGUGGAAUUCUCGGUGUAGAGGUGAAAUUCGUAGAUAUCGAGAGGAACACCGGUGGCGAAGGCGGCCAACUGGACGAACACUGACGCUGAGACACGAAAGCGUGGGGAGCAAACAGGAUUAGAUACCCCAGUAGUCCCUGUCUCUUAUAC
This 301-nucleotide ribosomal RNA is filed under the name uncultured bacterium. RNAcentral's name for it is "partial 16S ribosomal RNA". It matches the Rfam family "Bacterial small subunit ribosomal RNA", at positions 509 to 807 of the family's 1533-position model. The record is from RNAcentral.